GUUGAUGAUGAUACCCUUGAAUAGGAAGUGCCGUCAGAUGCGAGAACUGACGAUAACCUUCUUAUUUGUCUGAAA
Small nucleolar RNA from Anser brachyrhynchus (Pink-footed goose), 75 nucleotides. Ensembl annotates it as small nucleolar RNA, C/D box 49A. Its record names the gene SNORD49A. Lineage: Eukaryota; Metazoa; Chordata; Aves; Anseriformes; Anatidae. The record is from Ensembl.